AGAGUGAACGCUGGCGGUAGGCCUAACACAUGCAAGUCGAACGGCAGCACAGUAAGAGCUUGCUCUUAUGGGUGGCGAGUGGCGGACGGGUGAGGAAUACAUCGGAAUCUACCUUUUCGUGGGGGAUAACGUAGGGAAACUUACGCUAAUACCGCAUAAGACCUUCGGGUGAAAGCCGGGGACCUUCGGGCCUGGCGCGGAUAGAUGAGCCGAUGUCGGAUUAGCUUGUUGGGACGGGUAAAACGCCCACCAAGGCGACGAUCCGUAGCUGGUCUGAGAGGAUGAUCAGCCACACGUGGAACUGAGACACGGUACCAGACCUCCGUACGGGAGCAGCGAGGUGGGAAUAGUUGGAACAAGUCGGGACGACGAACGCCGUAGACUCC
Molecule: ribosomal RNA, 386 nt
Filed under: uncultured soil bacterium
Lineage: Bacteria
Description: bacterial SSU rRNA
Rfam family: Bacterial small subunit ribosomal RNA
Source: RNAcentral